AAAGGAAUUGACGGGGGCCCGCACAAGCGGUGGAGCAUGUGGUUUAAUUCGAUGAUACGCGAGGAACCUUACCAGGGCUUAAAUGUAGUCUGGACAGCUUUAGGAGAUAGAGUUUUCUUCGGACAGAUUACAAGGUGCUGCAUGGUUGUCGUCAGCUCGUGCCGUGAGGUGUCAGGUUAAGUCCUAUAACGAGCGCAACCCCUGUCGUUAGUUGCCAGCAAGUAAAGUUGGGGACUCUAACGAGACUGCCUACGCAAGUAGAGAGGAAGGUGGGGAUGACGUCAAAUCAUCACGGCCCUUACGUCCUGGGCCACACACGUGCUACAAUGGUAUGGACAAUGAGCAGCCAUCUGGCAACAGAG
Molecule: ribosomal RNA, 362 nt
Filed under: uncultured Flavobacteriales bacterium
Lineage: Bacteria; Pseudomonadati; Bacteroidota; Flavobacteriia; Flavobacteriales
Description: bacterial SSU rRNA
Rfam family: Bacterial small subunit ribosomal RNA
Source: RNAcentral